GAUGAAGAACGCAGCGAAAUGCGAUAAGUAAUGCGAAUUGCAGAAUUCCAGUGAGUCAUCGAAUCUUUGAACGCACAUUGCGCCCGCCAGUAUUCUGGCGGGCAUGCCUGUUCGAGCGUCAUUUCAACCAUCAAGCCUUCGCUUGUGUUGGGGCCCCGCGGCUGCCGCGGCCCCCUAAAUCCAGUGGCGGGCUCGUCGUCGUACCGAGCGCAGUAGACAUCCUCGCUCCGGGAACCCGACGGGUGCCGGCCGUGAAACCCCCCCCAUCAAGGUUGACCUCGGAUCAGGUAGGAAUACCCGCUGAACUUAAGCAUAUCAAUAAGCGGAGGA
RNAcentral lists this unclassified non-coding RNA (330 nucleotides) under soil metagenome. Its description in RNAcentral is "partial contains 5.8S ribosomal RNA, internal transcribed spacer 2, and large subunit ribosomal RNA". The stretch from base 1 to 121 matches the Rfam family "5.8S ribosomal RNA", at positions 35 to 154 of the family's 154-position model. The record is from RNAcentral.